This is a small nuclear RNA of Carassius auratus (goldfish), 115 nucleotides long. Its record names the gene U5. It matches the Rfam family "U5 spliceosomal RNA". Rfam says of the family: U5 RNA is a component of both types of known spliceosome. The precise function of this molecule is unknown, though it is known that the 5' loop is required for splice site selection and p220 binding, and that both the 3' stem-loop and the Sm site are important for Sm protein binding and cap methylation. Lineage: Eukaryota; Metazoa; Chordata; Actinopteri; Cypriniformes; Cyprinidae. The record is from Ensembl.
ACACUCAUGUUUUUCUUCAGAUCGUAUAAAUCUUUCGCCUUUUACUAAAGAUUUCCGUGGGGAAGAACACAUUGAGUAUAAACUAAUUUUUUGAUGCCCUUCUUAACGGCGGGGU